UACAGAGGGUGCAAGCGUUAAUCGGAAUUACUGGGCGUAAAGCGUGCGUAGACGGUUAUGUAAGUUAGGUGUGAAAGCCCCGGGCUCAACCUGGGAAUUGCAUUUAAGACUGCAUAGCUAGGGUGCGGAAGAGGGGAGCGGAAUUUCCGGUGUAGCGGUGAAAUGCGUAGAUAUCAGGAGGAACACCUAUUGCGAAGGCAGCUCGCUGGGACGUAACUGACGCUGAGACGCGAAAGCGUGGGGAGCAAACAGG
RNAcentral lists this ribosomal RNA (253 nucleotides) under uncultured bacterium. Its description in RNAcentral is "partial 16S ribosomal RNA". It matches the Rfam family "Bacterial small subunit ribosomal RNA", at positions 524 to 776 of the family's 1533-position model. The record is from RNAcentral.